ACUAUUUUGGCAGAAGCAAGUGCAACAAAUUUAGAUUUUGUUUAUAUGAUUGAAUUAUCUUAAGUAGUA
RNAcentral lists this transfer RNA (69 nucleotides) under Metallyticus sp. RNAcentral describes it as "tRNA-Leu". The record is from RNAcentral. Lineage: Eukaryota; Metazoa; Arthropoda; Insecta; Mantodea; Metallyticidae.